UUUACAAAAAUAUUUUAAGUUGUUUGUUAACAUGCCGGGUGUGUAUGGUUGAUAAGAAAAGAGUGCAGACGUUAUUUUUGUUAAUAUUAACCUCCAAAGAUAUGACAAGCCACAAUGCUAAAAGUCCGGAUGUAGUCGGAUGAGAACAUGUAACCGCAGUUGUUAUUUGUGUAAAUGUUAUCACAUAUUUUUAAAACUAUAAGGUCUUGUUUUUGCAAAACACAUUCAAACAUUUGAUCACGUUCAUGCUGUGUGAAUUUCGCCUAUAAAUACUGAAACAGACGAGCAUAUACCACAGUCGACAUCUGACAGUUUCUACAGUAUAGUUGCAGUGUUCAGUGGAAAAUAUUCAAUUAAGAUAUUCCUAGCGUUCAGACGUGUGCUCUGGUGAGUUUUAUAUCGUUCAGAAGUGUGCUCUGUUGAGUGGCAAACUUUGAAUAUUUUUUGAUUUUGUCGAAAACAAUUUUUUUUUGAAAUUUUUAAAACAUAUUUAGUGUUUGGGUUCUAAUUUUUUUGAAUUCUAAGUUUUGAAUAUUUAUUAUUAUGUUAUUACUUAGUGUUGUUUGAUUUGGUCAGUUUUUUUUAAUAACGAAAACAUGAACACAUUCUUAGUCACUAAAGAUACAUUUAAGAAAAUUCGUAUUUCUCAUCCUUUAAUAACGAAAACAUGAACAAAUUCUUAGUCACUAAAGAUACAUUUAAGAAAAUUCGUAUUUCUCAUCCUUUAAUAACGAAAACAUGAACAAAUUCUUAGUCACUAAAGAUACAUUUAAGAAAAUUCGUAAAUUUGGCCUCCAGGGACGAACUCUGGAAUUUAAAAUCAGGGAUGUGCCGCAGAGUGAGGAACCUGUGGGAUGGGUAAAAAAGGCCAUCGAGGAGAUUGUACUUAAGGGAACAGAAGGUUUGGAACCAACCGAUCAGGUCGGUUUCACUUUUUGCUCGAAAGACUUUGCCAGAGGUCAGGGUUGGAUGAGGUUCAAGCCUGCCUGUGAAGUGACCGUUGAUGAUAUAUGGGAUAAGAUUAGUUCCAUAUAUCAGAGUAAUAGCACCGGCCUCAAUACCGAAACAUUUUGUUUGGGUAUUACGACGGUAAAACUGCCCGCGGGAAAAGGUGGUCCGAGAGGAAGAGCUUAUAACUCCUUUAACGAGGAGUGUUUGAAAAGGCGAGGAACUGUUGUUAUUAAAAACAAGGAUAAUCUUUGUUUACCUCGUGCUCUUGUGGUUGCAAAAGCUCACGUAGAUAAGGACCAAGAAUGGAAGAAGGUACGUCAAGAUAUUGGAAAAAUACAAGGACAAAGAGCCCAUCAACUGAUUGAAGCCGCUAAUGUAACAAUUCCUGUCGGAGGGGCAGGAAUACCCGAACUACAACAGUUUCAGGGACACCUCACAGAUUACAAAAUUGUGGUGUAUAGUUAUGGUAGCAAGGGUCGUGACGUUAUGUUCUGUGGUAACACUAAUGGUCCAGCGUUAAAUCUUUUGUAUCAUGAAGGACACUUUAACGUGAUCACUUCUUUGACAGCUGCUUUUUGUUGUAUUUAUUAUUGUGAGGAGUGCCACCAGCCGUUUAACAACAAAAACGACCACAGAUGUGGUGGUACAUGUUUUGCUUGUCGUCGUUCACCAGCUUGUUCCAAAGAUUGCGUGAAAAUACCCUGCGAUCAAUGUGGUCGAAACUUCUACGGUAAGGCAUGUUUCAAUGCUCACCUAGGAUCGGUAUGCGAUAAAAUCAAAAGGUGUAGGACCUGUUACAAGAUCUACACCAAAAGUCAUGUCUGUGGUGAGGUCUUCUGUAAAACUUGUAAGAAAAAUUGUCCGUCAGAUCAUCUUUGUUACAUACAGCCCGAUUCUGGUCUUCCUCCAUCAAGCGAUUUUCUAUUUAUAUUUUAUGAUUUGGAAACUAGUCAGGAAAAGAUAUUGGCUGAUGGUUCGCUUCUUCAAGAACCAAAUCUCUGUGUAUUUAAUCAACGUUGUUACAAAUGUCUCCCUGAGAUGAAAUUAGUUUUCUGUCAAUCUUGUGGAUUUCGCCAAAAGAUUUUGAGGGGUCUUGACGUAAUAAGUCUUUUUAUGAAUCAUAUUUUGCAAAUUAGAAAAAAAUUCAAGAAUGUUGUCGUGUUAGCUCACAAUGGAGGAGGCUUCGACCAUCAAUUUAUUUUAAAUUAUAUUUUAACAAAGACUGAUUUAACCCCUGAUCUCAUUAUGCGUGGUACAAAGUUGGUGUCAAUGGCUGUUGGUAACGCUCGUUUUCUCGAUAGUCUUAAUUACUUUCCAAUGGCGUUGUCUGCUCUACCUAAAGCUUUUGGGUUGACAGAGUUGAAAAAGGGAUAUUUUCCACAUCUGUUUAACAGAGAGGAAAAUCAAUCUUAUGUUGGACCUAUGCCUGAUCUAAAAUUUUACGAUCCCGAUAAUUUAAAAGAUGAUGCACGUGACAAGCUGAUCGCGUGGCACGCUGAAAGAGUAGAUGAGGGAUACGUUUUUGAUUUUCAAAAGGAAAUUGUUGAAUAUUGUAUUAGCGAUGUUGAGAUUUUGACUAAGGCUUGUCUCACUUUCAGAAAACAGUUGAUGGAUACUUCAAAUGUCUGUCCGUUUUUCGAGGCAACAACUGUUGCAUCGACGUGUAACAAGGUAUUCAGGCGUAAUUUCUUACAACCAAACACAAUAGCCCUUAUUCCAAAAGGUGGCUAUCGUUUUAAAGAUAAUCAGUCGAAAAUAGCUUUGCAGUGGUUAUUGUGGGAAGAGAAGCAACGUUGUAUUAAAAUUCAGCAUGCCGCCAGGGGACCUGAAGCUCUUAUUGGAAAUUGUAGGGUGGACGGUCUUUACGAAAACACCAUCUUUGAUUUUCAAGGUUGUUAUUACCACGGUUGUCCUACUUGUUACCCUACAGAUAGAACUGCACCCCUUCAUGACGAUCCUUCAGAUUGUAUGGAAAAUCGUCAUGAUAAAACAAUUGCUAAAGUUAAGCAUCUCAGAUCAAUAGGAUAUGAGGUGGUUGAAAUAUGGGAAUGUCAAUUCCGUAAAAUGCUGACGGCCGAGAUAAAGGCGUAUACCGAGGGGCAUCCUCUUAUGGCUAGUUUACCUUUGAAUCCUAGAGAUGCUUUAUAUGGUGGUCGUACAGGCAAUACUGUAGAGUAUUACAAGUGUAAAGAUGGUGAAAAAAUUAAAUACGUUGAUGUUUGUUCGCUUUAUCCGUGGGUAUGCAAGUACGGAAAGUUCCCAAUCGGACAUCCAAAGAAAAUAUAUAUUGGACAGGAAUGCACUGCUGUAGACAUUACUGAGUUAUCUGGAUUAAUAAAGUGUAAAGUGCUUCCUCCUACAAACCUCUAUCAUCCUGUUCUUCCUACCAAGAUGAACAGUAAAUGUAUGUUCGUUUUAUGCCGAAAGUGUGGAGAGGACUUUGCGGAAGAAGAGUGUGAGCAUUCGAAUGAUGAACGGGCUCUAACAGGUACUUGGGUGAUUGAGGAGGUAGUGAAAGCUUUAUCAAAGGGUUAUAAAAUAAUUGAGACCUAUGAGAUAUGGUCCUAUGAUACUUUACAGUUAUCGAAAUCUCAGAAAGGUCUUUUUUCCGAUAUGAUGAACAAAUUUAUCAAAGUGAAACAACAAGCUUCAGGGUGGCCGCGAGGAUGUGUAUCGGAUGAGGAAAAGAGCCGGUACAUCGAGGAGUUUCUUCAGAGGGAGGAUGUCAGGCUGGAGUUUUCCGACAUAACGGAGAACCCUGGUCUGAGGUCGUUGGCUAAGCUUAUGCUCAAUUCUUUCUGGGGUAAGUUCGCUCAGCGAGAGAACCUCCCUAAAACAUCCAUAAUAAACAAGCCUGGAGAAUUUUUUGCUAUGUUGAUUAAUCCAUCCAUUCAGGUUAAUACGGUGAUCCCUGUAAAUGAGGACACACUGGUUGUUACGUGGGAGUAUGUGAAGGAGGCGUACUCAAUGUCGUCAGCAGUUAAUGUUGUUCUGGCAUCAUACGUUACGGCUCUGGCUCGUCUCAAAUUGUACUCUUAUCUGGAGAUUAUUGGGUCUCGGGCAAAAUAUUACGACACAGAUUCGUCUAUUUACCUUUCCAAGGCUGGCUUACCUGAUCUCCCAAUAGGUGAGUGUAUAGGUGACUUAACUGAUGAGUUGGGUGGGGGGUAUAUUUCAGAGUUCGUUUCUGGAGGGCCUAAAAAUUACGCAUAUAAAUACACUUUGCCUAACGGUGAAGAAAAAAUUUGUUGUAAGGUUAAAGGUAUUUGUCUAAAUUAUGAGGCAUCUAAAUUAGUUAAUUUCGAUACCAUUAAGAAGAUGGUACUUAUGAAGUCUGACCCUGUUUCUGUGGUGACUAAACAAAUACAAAGGACACAGGAUCAUUGUGUUAUCACAAAAACCCUUGAAAAAAAAUAUAGACCAAACUCAGCAAAAAGAAAAUUUUUUGAAGAUUUUACAUCCGUACCUUAUGGUUAUAAAAAACUUAAAAUUUAAACUAUAGCCCAGACUCAGCUUUUUUAUUUUUUAACACUAUACCUGUUUAACACUCACAAUCAACAUUUUUAAUUAGUAAGUUAUAUAUUAAUAGAUUACUUUUUGUUUUGUCAACAGUGGAUGCUUUUUCCUCUGCGAUACAACCGAUCGUCUGUCACACUGAAAAGUGGGUUACUAAAAAGUUGUAGUGAGUUGUCGUUUGUCCUACAUGAUUAAACAUCUUUAAAAGAUGUUCAGUUAAGACCAUUAAAAGAUAUCUGAUAUAUAGCCCACUGGCAAAUUAAUGAGCCGUUCUGGUUACGUCCGUUGCUCGUGUAGCCGCUCAUUAUAAAAGAUGGCAAUCAGAUCAUAAAAAGAUGUCUGCUGAACCAUUUCCUGUAUGUUUAAAAAAGAUGUUCAGUUAAGGUCACUAAAAGAUAUUCGUUAUAAAAAUGUACUAUAAAUAAUGUUAAUAAAAAGAUACCUGCUGAACCAUUUCCGGUAUUUUAAAAUACAAUAAACAGUUUUCGGCUAUGAACCACUUUGUGAUUUUGUAACAUCAUUACAGCUUUGCUCGUUACUUACUAGAAGGUGGGGCAACAAUCGCUUGUUCUAUGCUAUCACAAAUAUAUAUAUAUAUUGAAUCACAUUUGAUUCCUCUGAGGAAAUUUGGUGGUUGUAGGCCUCUAGGGGAUGGUGUCCACGAUAAAACACCAACGAGGUAUGUGUUGUACCUCAUGGGUGCCUUGGAAAUCAACACGAGUAACCUUUGUUUCAGAUUAUCCUUGAAAAAAAAAAUCAGCACGAGCUAUGUUAGCUUUAACGUGACGACCUUUACGACAUGCUUUUUCUUUACGACAAUACUGUUAGAUAUGUCUUUAUACAUUAACAAAAGUUUUUUUUCUACCUAGGUAUACUCUAAGUGUAUAUAAUUUUUUUUCUCAAUAUAUCUGAUACAUAAUACCUUUAAAUAUGGUCCUCCUUUUGGAGUAUAAAAAGGACGGUCGACUUUUAACCCGCACGGAUGCACGUCUAUAUGUACCUUUACGAAGGGAAUUGUACAUAAACCUAUAAGCUGAUCGUAAUCCAUAUCUGCAAAGUAUGUUGUCAGCUUGGGUUAGUAUAUACAGUGCAUUCCGUAUGUUUUAUAAACAUGAUCAGGGGAAAUUGUUGCCUGAUGGCUAUUAAAGAACCGUCUAUGGCCCUCAUAUAUUCUUAUCACAGAUCUUUAAUAUCAAACUGUAAAAUUAAUACUACCCACUUGCCGUAGAUAAAAUAUUGUAUGCAACUAUUCAGUAAAUUACAUAAAAAUAAUACACAUUUUUCUGAAAAGACUUGUACAUGAGAUGUUUGCUGGUUUGGUCACAGCGUAAGAAUGGUAUAUGUUCAUUGUAGGAAUGUAUGCUUGGAGGGAGAUCGAGGAUGUUUGUUGGUCAUACUGUAAGAAUGGUAUAUGUUCAUUGUAGGAAUGUAUGAUUGAAACGAAGAUACGAUAUAGUGCCGUUUUGGCAAUGUCUUAUUCACGUCACGUCAUUCACGUUACGUCAUUCACGGUAAAAUAUCACGUUAAAGAGGUACACUGUUAGGAUGGUUUAAAGAUAAAUAGUCUAUACCAUUAGGGAAUAGAGUGUAGCAGAGACCAUUAGAGGCCAUUAGAAACCAUCAGGUCACUUUAUUUACGUCGCGUGAUUCACGUGACGUUAUGCACGUCACGUUCUGUUAGGCACUGUCACGUUCUGUUAGGCACUAUACGGAAAAGAAGAAGAAGAAUUGGCAAUUAAUGUUGAACGUUGACAGAAGAAGAAUUGACAGUUGCCAUCUGUGUCGCCACCGCUUUCAUUUGAUAUCCCAUACGUCAAAAUCGGAUCAUUAGCAAAGAAGAUAUGUUGUAAUGCCGUUUUGGCAAUGUCAAUUAGUUACGUGUUGCAGCCGACAGGUGGCAUGAUAAGAUGAAGAACUGUGAUAGGAUGUUUGAUGGUCGUACUGUAAGAAUGGUAUACGUUCUUCUAGAGGGCUUGGGCAUAGUUACAUGUUGCAGCCGACAGGUGGCAUGAUAAGAUGAAGAACUGUGAUAGGACUAAUAUAUCACCGUUUUGGCAGUGUUGCCAUGUUUCUCCUUCCCUUCGAUGUCUGUUGCGCUAAAAUUAAUAGCAACGAAGAUAUAGUGUCGUUUUGGCAUUGCUGACAUCUUUGUUUUUUAUGUUAACAUAUUCAAUAUCCCCUCUUUUUCCCAACGAGACCAUAUUCACACGAAUUGGACCAAUAGACACGAAGAUAUGAUAUAGUGCCGUUUUGUCAUUGCUGACAUCUUUGUUUAUAUGGUAACAUGCCUUCCUCUUUCCAACAAUAUAUGAUCAGUCAGGUCGGAGACAUGCUCUAAUGCUCUUUUGCUAAUGUCUUUGUGAUUGCUCCUCUUUCGUUUAAUGUCUUACAUGUAAUAAACGAACCAAUAACAACGCAGAUGGCAGAUAGGUGCUUCAUGGAUAAGUGUCUUAUUUGGCUUUCUGACUACACCCUGUAUAUUUUGCGAUAAACGAAAUAAAGAGGAGGCCAUCUUGGAAGGCGAGGGUUUGUGACGUAGGUGGGCCUGGCUGUGUUCCCAUUGGUCGUUGGGCGGGGCUUCGUUCUCAUUGGUCGGUGAUUGGGGCUAAGUUCUCAUUGGUCGCUGGACUUUGAUCUCAUUGGUCCAUGGGCGAUGCUGUGGGUGGGCGAGGCUUCCUUCUCAUUGGUCGGUGGGCAAUCAUUGGCCGGUGGGCAACCAUUGGUCUGUGGGCGUGGCUUUGUGGUGGGCGUGGCUUUGUGGUGGGCGUGGCUUUGUGGUGGGCGUGGCUUGCGGUGGGCGUGGCUUUGUGGU
Molecule: unclassified non-coding RNA, 7279 nt
Filed under: Diabrotica virgifera virgifera (western corn rootworm)
Lineage: Eukaryota; Metazoa; Arthropoda; Insecta; Coleoptera; Chrysomelidae
Description: uncharacterized LOC126879202
Source: RNAcentral